RNAcentral lists this ribosomal RNA (301 nucleotides) under uncultured bacterium. RNAcentral describes it as "partial 16S ribosomal RNA". It matches the Rfam family "Archaeal small subunit ribosomal RNA", at positions 459 to 760 of the family's 1478-position model. The record is from RNAcentral.
CAGUAGCCGCGGUAAAACCAGCACCUCAAGUGGUCAGGAGGUUUAUUGGGCCUAAAGCAUCCGUAGCCGGUUGCAUAAGUUUUCGGUUAAAUCUAUGCGCUUAACGUAUAGGCCGCCGAAAAUACUGUGCAGCUAGGGAGUGGGAGAGGUACACGGUACUCGAUAGGAAGGGGUAAAAUCCUUUGAUCUAUUGAUGACCACCUGUGGCGAAGGCGGUGUACCAGAACACGUUCGACGGUGAGGGAUGAAAGCUGGGGGAGCAAACCGGAUUAGAUACCCCUGUAGUCCCUGUCUCUUAUAC